Molecule: transfer RNA, 68 nt
Filed under: Bathyanthias cubensis
Lineage: Eukaryota; Metazoa; Chordata; Actinopteri; Perciformes; Serranidae
Description: tRNA-Cys
Source: RNAcentral
AGCCCUGAGGUGUAAUUACAUAUCAGAUUGCAAAUCUGAAGAAGCAAGCUAGUCGUUUGCCGGGGCUU